RNAcentral lists this ribosomal RNA (253 nucleotides) under uncultured bacterium. RNAcentral describes it as "partial 16S ribosomal RNA". It matches the Rfam family "Bacterial small subunit ribosomal RNA", at positions 524 to 776 of the family's 1533-position model. The record is from RNAcentral.
UACGUAGGGUGCGAGCGUUAAUCGGAAUUACUGGGCGUAAAGGGCUCGUAGGCGGCCAACUAAGUCAGACGUGAAAUCCCUCGGCUUAACCGAGGAACUGCCUGCCAGACUGUGAGGCUUGAGACCGGGAGAGGUGAGUGGAAUUCCCAGUGUAGAGGUGAAAUUCGUAGAUAUUGGGAAGAACACCAGUGGCGAAGGCGGCUCACUGGCCCGGUACUGACGCUCAUGUGCGAAAGCGUGGGGAGCAAACAGG